CACGUAGGGGGCAAGCGUUGUCCGGAUUUAUUGGGCGUAAAGAGCUCGUAGGCGGCUCAGUAAGUCAGGUGUGAAACCUCCAGGCUCAACCUGGAGACGCCACCUGAUACUGCUGUGGCUAGAGUCCGGUAGGGGAGCGUGGAAUUCCUGGUGUAGCGAUGAAAUGCGCAGAUAUCAGGAGGAACACCAGCGGCGAAGGCGGCGCUCUGGGCCGGAACUGACGCUGAGGAGCGAAAGCGUGGGUAGCAAACAGG
Molecule: ribosomal RNA, 254 nt
Filed under: uncultured bacterium
Lineage: Bacteria
Description: partial 16S ribosomal RNA
Rfam family: Bacterial small subunit ribosomal RNA
Source: RNAcentral